CAAUUAUUGUCUUGGUUAUGAGCCAGUGCUUCGUGUUUCAGAAUUCUUCAUUUUGAAUUUUUAAUAAAAUUGAAGAUGUUCAGUACAGAUCCCCUAACAAACCUGAAUAAAAAGACAAUUAUGGGCCCUCAUGGAAUCAAUCGAGCUGUUCACCGCAUUUCUUUUUCUGAUUGUCAGAAUGGAUUAGGAGUUAAAAUUAUUGGAGGUUACCGGGCACAAACUGCAGAAGAUUAUGGGAUUUUCAUAAAGAGAAUUCUACCUGGAGGUGUUGCUGCUGUAGAUAGCCGUUUGCUCACGGGAGACCUCAUUUUGGAUGUCAAUGGAGAAAACUUAAUUGGAGUAACCAAUGAAAGGGCCGUUGACAUCUUGCGAACAGCUUCAGCAUCUAAUCACAUGUCUCUGCUAGUUGCCAGAGAUGAAGAAGCAAAGAAAGAGUUUCUUGACCUGAUGGAUAAGUAUGGCUCUCACAGUGACACCAACUCUGCAAGAAGUUCUCCAACACAGCUAUUAGCUGGUGAGAGAUUUCUUCCCAUCCUGACAUAAUCUCUUGUAGGACAAUCUUCAUGCUUCUGUGGACUAGACUCCUGCACUGAAAACUCUACUUGGGGAAAGGGUGUACUGGAGCAAGAGAAUGUCAGGCUAAGCACGUGUUUACUUAAGACUUUUAACAUUUACUUUGUAGUCUAAACAUUUAACUUGACUUGUUUGUGUGUAGGUUUCCCCAUCUCUAAAACAAAUGUUCUGCCAUCUACUUUCAGCAAUUUUAAUUAAUGAGUAGUGUGAACUGUGUUUG
This 793-nucleotide long non-coding RNA is filed under the name Anas platyrhynchos (mallard). Its description in RNAcentral is "lncRNA (ENSAPLG00020013758.1)". Lineage: Eukaryota; Metazoa; Chordata; Aves; Anseriformes; Anatidae. The record is from RNAcentral.